Molecule: long non-coding RNA, 427 nt
Organism: Haliotis rubra (blacklip abalone)
Lineage: Eukaryota; Metazoa; Mollusca; Gastropoda; Lepetellida; Haliotidae
Exons: 3
Source: RefSeq, a predicted model, not a curated record
AACUAUAGUAUAAAGAAAGCACAUCUUUAAUGAAUGGUAAUAAACCCAUACUGUUGCUUACGCGGAGCAUGUUAAAUGAGUAAAAAGGCAACUGUAAAUCUUUCAGCAUACGAACUCUGAAGCGAACGCUCAGCACACUUGGUCUGAGGCGUCGUUUGGGCUGUAUAGAUCAUGAAAGAGUUAUAAGGGCUAUUCAGAAUGAGCUGCAAGGUAGUGGUACCUGUCUUGGUUACAGAAGCAUGACUGAACGCCUAAGAAAUGUUCAUGGUCUCAGAGUACCAAGGCAUAUGGUCAUGGAGAUACUGACGAUUGUCGACCCAACGUUUUUCAAGACGACUGUACAGUAACAAGGGACCCAAGUAUCUUGUACACAUAGAUGGCUACGACAAGAUUACACCAUUUGGUUUUGCUAUUCACGGCGCUAUUU